RNAcentral lists this ribosomal RNA (595 nucleotides) under Klebsiella pneumoniae. Its description in RNAcentral is "partial 23S ribosomal RNA". It matches the Rfam family "Bacterial large subunit ribosomal RNA", at positions 229 to 867 of the family's 2925-position model. The record is from RNAcentral. Lineage: Bacteria; Pseudomonadati; Pseudomonadota; Gammaproteobacteria; Enterobacterales; Enterobacteriaceae.
CCGAGAUUCCCCCAGUAGCGGCGAGCGAACGGGGAGCAGCCCAGAGUCUGAAUCAGCUUGUGUGUUAGUGGAACGGUCUGGAAAGUCCGACGGUACAGGGUGAUAGUCCCGUACACCAAAAUGCACAGGCUGUGAACUCGAAGAGUAGGGCGGGACACGUGGUAUCCUGUCUGAAUAUGGGGGGACCAUCCUCCAAGGCUAAAUACUCCUGACUGACCGAUAGUGAACCAGUACCGUGAGGGAAAGGCGAAAAGAACCCCGGCGAGGGGAGUGAAAAAGAACCUGAAACCGUGUACGUACAAGCAGUGGGAGCACCUUCGGGUGUGACUGCGUACCUUUUGUAUAAUGGGUCAGCGACUUAUAUUCUGUAGCAAGGUUAACCGUAUAGGGGAGCCGCAGGGAAACCGAGUCUUAACUGGGCGUUAAGUUGCAGGGUAUAGACCCGAAACCCGGUGAUCUAGCCAUGGGCAGGUUGAAGGUUGGGUAACACUAACUGGAGGACCGAACCGACUAAUGUUGAAAAAUUAGCGGAUGACUUGUGGCUGGGGGUGAAAGGCCAAUCAAACCGGGAGAUAGCUGGUUCUCCCCGAAAGCU